AUCCUUCUGUGGUUCAUAAGCACGAUGAUUGGGUUUUCAUGUGCAUGAGUGAGAUGUGCCUCCCAUAAAUCUUGUUAAGACACUGGCACAUUACCUGUCUGAUA
Nycticebus coucang (slow loris) is the source of this 104-nucleotide small nucleolar RNA. RefSeq annotates it as small nucleolar RNA U13. The record is from RefSeq and is a predicted model, not a curated record. NCBI's taxonomy places the organism in Eukaryota, Metazoa, Chordata, Mammalia, Primates, Lorisidae. The transcript has a single exon.